RNAcentral lists this long non-coding RNA (295 nucleotides) under Homo sapiens (human). RNAcentral's name for it is "LHRI_LNC433.3". The record is from RNAcentral. Lineage: Eukaryota; Metazoa; Chordata; Mammalia; Primates; Hominidae.
GGGGGGGGGGGUGGGGGGGGGGCGGGGGGGGGGGGGGGGGGGGGGGGGGGGGGGGGGGGGGGGGGGGGGGGGGGGGGGGGGGGGGGGGGGGGGGGGGGGGGGGGAGGGAGGGGGGGGUGAGAGGGGGGGGGGGGGGGGGGGGGGGGGGGGGGGGGGGGGGGGGGGGGGGGGAGGGGGGGGGGGGGGGGGGGGGGGGGGGGGGGGGGGGGGGAGGGGGGGGGGGGGGGGGGGGGGGGGGGGGGGGGGGGGGGGGGGGGGGGGGGGGGGGGGGGGGGGGGGGGGGGGGAGGGGGGGG